AUUAAUUAGGUGGCGGCGCCUGGGGUCGCAGCACUCCAGAGGCUGAGGUGGGAGAAUCGCUCGAGUCAGGGAGGCGGAGGUUGCAGUGAACUGCGAUCGCGCUACUGCACCCCAGCCUGGGCAACAAAGCUAGACCUUGCCUCAAAAAAAAAAAAAAAAAAAAAAAAAAAGACAUAAUGAAUGCAUCAGGCUAGCUAACAAUACCUCAACUCUGAUCAAUCAUACCAUCAUAUCAUUUCCUGGUGAGAUGCAUAGGAAAUACAGAGCAUCACCUAUUGCCAAAAAUUGAACCUAAUCAAGCCUCAAGAUCUAACUACCAGUUUAUAGGCUAUAUAGAGAUUAGCAGGAAUAUGUUAAGACACCAAAGAGUCUCGCCCUUUUGCCUAGUGGAGGAGCUCGGCUCACUGCAAGCUCCGCGCCACAACCCCCCUGCCGCCCCAGGUUCAAGAGAUUCUCCUGCCUCAGUCUCCCGAGUAGACUGGGAUUACAGGCGAGUGCCACCAUGCCCGGCUAAUUUUUGUAUUUUUGGUAGAGACGGGGUUUCAUUAUGUUGGCCAGGCUGAUCUCGAACUCCUGACCUCAAGUGAUCCGCCUGCCUUGGCCUCCCAAAGUGCUGGGAUUACAGGCGUGAGCCACAACGUUGGGCCAGAAUGCUGGGGUGGAAGAGUUCCCAGUUUUAAAGGAGAAGUACAAGAAGACCUGUAAUUGUUAGCAAGAUAUACAGAACACAGUGCACACAGCAGCGCACUUCUCAAGUCAGCUCCAGGUUCAAGCUCAAAGGCCUAAAGUUUUGCAAACAUCUGGUGAAGAGGAAGAUUUUUGAGACUCUCCCAGCCUAUUACAUAAAGGAAACAUAACCGAGAAUUUUGUCUAAAGGUUUUCAUUUGAAACAAAGCAAGAGCUUCUUUUCCCCACUCCGAAUUAAAACACAGCGCAACAGGGGCCACAUUUAUUUGGCAGGACAGUACCAAUAUGUGAACAUCCUCCUCCUCACUGCCGUUGGGGUGACUUGACUCAUAAGCAGCUGUUCUUACACAAAAUAUUAACCCGAACUGCUAGUGUCACACAGAAGGAAGUGGUCUUGAUUGUGUAUGUGGGCCAGCAUGUUCUACAAAUGCUGAAAGGUGGGAGAAGCACAAAUACAACCCACUCUUUAAA
This 1158-nucleotide long non-coding RNA is filed under the name Homo sapiens (human). RNAcentral's name for it is "non-protein coding VPS33B-DT:25". Lineage: Eukaryota; Metazoa; Chordata; Mammalia; Primates; Hominidae. The record is from RNAcentral.